GCGAAUCUUGAGGUGCUUGCACCUCUUGGUUAGCGGCGGACGGGUGAGUAACACGUGGGCAACCUGCCUGUAAGACUGGGAUAACUUCGGGAAACCGGAGCUAAUACCGGAUAAUCCUUUUCCUCUCAUGAGGAAAAGCUGAAAGUCGGUUUACGCUGACACUUACAGAUGGGCCCGCGGCGCAUUAGCUAGUUGGUGAGGUAACGGCUCACCAAGGCGACGAUGCGUAGCCGACCUGAGAGGGUGAUCGGCCACACUGGGACUGAGACACGGCCCAGACUCCUACGGGAGGCAGCAGUAGGGAAUCUUCCGCAAUGGACGAAAGUCUGACGGAGCAACGCCGCGUGAGCGAUGAAGGCCUUCGGGUCGUAAAGCUCUGUUGUUAGGGAAGAACAAGUAUCGGAGUAACUGCCGGUACCUUGACGGUACCUAACCAGAAAGCCACGGCUAACUACGUGCCAGCAGCCGCGGUAAUACGUAGGUGGCAAGCGUUGUCCGGAAUUAUUGGGCGUAAAGCGCGCGCAGGCGGUCCUUUAAGUCUGAUGUGAAAGCCCACGGCUCAACCGUGGAGGGUCAUUGGAAACUGGGGGACUUGAGUACAGAAGAGGAAAGCGGAAUUCCACGUGUAGCGGUGAAAUGCGUAGAGAUGUGGAGGAACACCAGUGGGCGAAGGCGGCUUUCUGGUCUGUAACUGACGCUGAGGCGCGAAAGCGUGGGGGAGCAAACAGGAUUAGAUACCCUGGUAGUCCACGCCGUAAACGAUGAGUGCUAAGUGUUAGAGGG
This 783-nucleotide ribosomal RNA is filed under the name Bacillus sp. SCH-10. RNAcentral's name for it is "bacterial SSU rRNA". It matches the Rfam family "Bacterial small subunit ribosomal RNA", at positions 66 to 830 of the family's 1533-position model. The record is from RNAcentral. Lineage: Bacteria; Bacillati; Bacillota; Bacilli; Caryophanales; Bacillaceae.